RNAcentral lists this long non-coding RNA (3476 nucleotides) under Homo sapiens (human). RNAcentral's name for it is "non-protein coding MIR99AHG:111". Lineage: Eukaryota; Metazoa; Chordata; Mammalia; Primates; Hominidae. The record is from RNAcentral.
AUAAAGGACUUGUCUAGGGGAGAGCCUAUGGAUCUGAGAACGCUGUCUGGGCUUGGUACCAAGAGCUGGUAUUUCACAGCAGCGACCGCCUCACAGACGAGCUGUGGGAAGCAGGAGGGAGACUCUCUCUUAGGGUGCCACUACUAUGGAGACACAGCUGGGCUGAACAAGAUUUGCUUCAAACGACAACAAGAGAGACAGAAAGUAUCUGGUUCAACCGCUGCCCGAGCAGGCAGGCACCAGAAGAGCUAGCAGCCAAUCCGGCCAUGCUCGAAGCCAGCUCUGCAGCUCAGCCAAUCAGUGACAUCAUUGCUUUCUUUAGCUUGCCCAUGGUGAUGUGAAGAUGAGAAGAAAUAGCAAGGCCCAACCAGUUCUUCAUCUGGAGACAGUUCAACGUUCUGCAAACCAGAUCUUCAGGAAUUUUACUGGGAUAAUUAUCCAAAUAAAUUGCAAGCAUUCUAUCCAAAUGGACAUCCAUAAAAAUUCAUCAGAGAGCAUUUUACUACUGAGCUGCAAAGGGAAAAACUUAAAAUGGAUAUGAAAAGUGAAGAAAGUGAUCAUAGGAGAAAACCAUUUCAGGUGUCUGAUGAUUUGUGAGCCUCAAGUGACUACUCUGUGGAAUCAUCUGUCCUUGCCUUUGAAUUAGCUUUCCCUAGGCCAUGAGUCAACAUUAGUAGUUUAUACAUCCAAAUUGAUGACAAGAGCACCUCAAAGGCAGCAGCCUCAAGGAGCAGCCAUGGCCCCAGACUUGUCGCACGGAUGCAGAAAACUUAAUGGAGGAGGCUGAGGUCAGAAUGGGAAGAGUUUUUAAAAAAUAAAAAGGGGAGCUAAUAUGUGAGGAACUGAUUGCUGUGCAUUAUUUUCCACUGAACAGACCUUCUUUUAACUUCUAAUCUCAAGCACAUAGCAGCUGUUGUUUUCAUAUUAAAGAUCAGUAAGUGUUUGUUGAAUGAAUGUAUAAAUUCUUCCCCAAUCUCUGUUCCAUGUAAUAAGAACUAAGUUAGCAUUCAAUUAUAAAGAGGACUUAGAAAGUCUGCAGACAUUUUUGAUCAAAAAUCCUUUUAACUGUCUUCUUAUGGUUCCCGGUAACACCUAAGCCCAAAAAACUCAGGUCAUUUCUUGCCUGUACUGUUGCAAUAGCCUCAUAAUAACUAGUCUUCUCCUUUAUCAACCACAGUCGUCUCCGCUACACAAAGAAGAGAGGGUGCUAAUCUAAAGUGUAAAUUAUUUUAAAUCAGCACCCUUCUUGUAAUUUCCCAGUGGUUUUUCCUGUCAUAAGAAUAACAUGCAAAAUUCCUUGCUUGCAAAGCCAGGUAUGACCUUGCCCCGUCUACCUUACUGGCAUCGUCUCUCAUGACUCUUCCCCUUUUUCACUCUCCAUCUUGCCUUUUCCCAACCAUGCCUGCUAGUGAGCCUUAGCCCUUGUGUUUUCUCUGCCAGGGAUGCAUGACUGGCUUCUUUACUUUAUUCUGAUCUCUCUGCUCAAAUGUCAUCUUUUUAGAGAUAGCUUUCCUAAACAUCUUUAAAAGUACCCCAUGAACUGUGAAACACCUUUCCUGCUUUUUCUUCAUAGUACUUAUCACUUCCUGAUAUUAUGUUAGACAACAAGCAAAUAAGUAUAUGCUGUUCCCACUAAAAUAUAAGCUCCAUUUGAACAGGAGCCUUGAUUAUUCCUGAGUAUACCCCUAGUGCCCAGAACCUAGUAGGGCUUUAAUAAAUAUUAGAUUCAUUUGUUGAAUGAAAAAAUGAAUGAAUAAUUGAAUAAAGAUAUCCAGGUAGAGUGUCCGGGCAGCCCAACCUAUGUGAAGCCAGUACAAGAAUGUUUCUGUGACAUAGUGAGCGCAAUUAUUCCUCUAAAUGAUGAACUUGCAUGAGUACACAAGGAUAAAAUUAAGCACGUAGUUUAGAUUUCUGCAAGUCUCUUCCUCAGAUUGAGGAAAAACAAAGAAAUUGAGCUUAUUCUCACCUCAUUCUUACAUGAACUAAAUCCAGAAUAAAGCAUCAUUUAAAUACCAAGCACAUCCCUACCUCAGCCACUCAUGGAAUACUUUAUCUGUAAAGGGACAGAUAGAUAGUAAAUAUUUUUGGCUUUGGGGACCGUACAGUCUGUGUCGCCACUACUCAGCACUUCUGUUGAGGUGUGGAAUCAGCCCUAGACAACACAUAAACAAAUGGGUGUGGCUGUGUUCCAAUAAAAUGUUAUUUAUAAAACUAGGAAAUCAGCAGAUUUAGUCCACAGGCUGUAGUUUGCUGACCCUUGAAUUAGAGAGUCUUCCCCAAAUCCUCUUCCCAAGUUAUUGAAAGAAUGCCCAUAGGACCAUAGCUCCCUCACCUGGUUCUUUCAAGAAAUGAGACAAAUUCAGGGAUGGUUGGAGGGUGGAACGCCUACCUGUGACAUGACUAUUGAGCCUGAUUUCUUUCCUUUUAUCUCUUUAAAGUGAGUCAGGUCUUAACUUUAAACUGUCUCUAAAGUGGCAAUAACUGGGCCAUGUCAAAUACUCCCAAUGACAAAAUUUCUUCUUGGAGAAUGAAUGAGGGUUGCAUACAGUGGUGUGUUGGUAAAUGUUUAGCAACUGGCUCUCUUACUGAUUUCUGUAGUGUAAAUUCUCCCAUCCUGGCCAUCUGAAACUACCAAUAUGAUGUCACUUGAUGUAGAGUUGGGAAAAGACAGUCUCUUGAAUAAGUAUGAGCUGGUUCCAGCCCACUGCUGAACACAUAUUUAAAAGCUACAAUAGCUCUGCUCACUGCCAUUGCAGAGUCUGGAGGAAAGAGUAGCAGGCUUGAUAGGAGCAAUUGGCUGAAUAAUCUUUUGCAAUGCCAAUAAAUAAUGAAAAAGUAUAUAAAUAUAACGCUGUAUAGAAAGCUCUCAAGUUCAGUGUUUGGUUAAAAUACAUACUCAGUAAAUGGUAGCUAUUAUUGUCUUAGUUUAAGUUAUUGCAAGCAUUAAAAUUAAAUGUUUAGCUACAGACUCAAUCCAGUUUUAAUGUCAUUGUGUUAAUAAGGCCUCUUAACAUUGAAGCAACAAAGAUAAAGGAAUUUUUUUGUAGCUAUUCACGAUUCUGCCCAGCUCAAGGUAAAGAUAGCAACAAAAUACUCCAACCAGAAUAAAAGAAGUCUCCACUUGACUGCAGCUCUUCGCAACACUUCACAAGGGUCAAGCUGUGUUAGUUUCCUUCAGUGUUAAACAGAAUGCAUCUUAAGAGAAUAGUUCAAUUAUUGAUUGAAUAGUAGGUUCAAGUUGACUAUAAUCCCAACUAAUACACUCUAAGACCAGGGAUGGGCCGACAGAAGGGUAAAGUUUUCCACUCAAGUCUCGAGGCAAACACUCAGAUAGAAGUAGUAAUAUGGAUGCCUUCUAUUAUUUGGUCACAUACAAUACUGUUCCAGCCCAGUUGUGCAAAACUGGUGAAAUAAAAGGCAAAAAUAUUGACAACAGUUUGGGUAACUGGAUUCCAAAAUGGGCAUCCAUCUAAGAG